Long non-coding RNA from Zonotrichia leucophrys gambelii, 1609 nucleotides. RefSeq lists it as uncharacterized. The record is from RefSeq and is a predicted model, not a curated record. The transcript has 3 exons. Lineage: Eukaryota; Metazoa; Chordata; Aves; Passeriformes; Passerellidae.
GCCAAUUAGUGUCAAGCUCUGUUGGGGCUCUGGAGAGAGGUACAAGAUUUCAUUAUUAUCUUUUUAGCCUUCUGACACAAUGUGAGAAGCCUCCUACAAAAGUGACCAAACAGGAUGAUUUCUAAAGCAUCAGUCUGCUGAAAGUUAACCAUCAAGAACAACUCCAAAGGUUCCUUGAUGCUGUAAGAAUAAUAAGCUAUCACACAGUGCAUUGGAGAAUAAGCUUUUACUUACAGUACUGGAAGUUUAAAGAAAAGGAAAGAUAUGAACACCAUGUGAAGAAAUUAUCAGCACAUUCCAUGUUGCCAUGGUUUAACCCCAGACAGCAACUAAGCUGCACACGGCUGUUCACUCACUCCGCCCCUGUGGGAUAGAAAGGAGAAUUGGAAGGGUAAAAUUGAUAAAACUCAUGGGUAGAGACAAAGACAGUGUAACAACUGAAAUUAAAUAAUAAUAGGCAAUAACAACAACAAAGCAACAAAGAAACAAUACUACUACUACUAAUAAUAUCACGCAGAGUAAUAAAAUCCAAGAAAAGCAGGUGAUAAAAAUGAAAAUUAUUUCUCAGUAUUAACCAACCUAUUCCAAUUCAGUUCCUCAGCAGCUCAUCUCCCCAUCAAUCAUUUUCACUAGUUAAUUGCAGAACACAAUAUCAUGUGGUGUGGAAUAUCCAUAUGGUCAGUUGGGAUCAGCUGUCUCAGGAGAGCCCCCUCCCAGCUCCUGGUGCAUGACCAGCCCACUCACUGGGGUGAGGUAAGAAACAGGAAAGGCCUUGAUGCUGUGUGAGCACUGCUCAACAAUAACAAAAACAUCUCUAGAUUGUCAACAGGUUGUGCUGUUUUCAGCACAAAUCCAAACCACAGCCACAUACCGGCUAUUGUGAAAGAAAGUAACUCUAUCUCAGCCAAAAUCAGCACAUACACAUGUGGCUUUUGGCCCCUUUUCUAUUGCUCCUGCAGAUGCUAUGCUGCCUACUGGAAAUAUAAUGGGCAAAGGCUCAGGACAAAUGUGUAUUUUUCAGUUCCAUUGACUAAUUGAUUCAUCCAAAAAUGAGACACCAGAGCUUGAGGCCUUUCUCUCUCUGUGAGUCAGCUCUCCUCUCCCAGCAGACAGCUGGGAUCAGAUAGUGGGUGAUCAGAAACACCAGAAGAAAACCUGCAGAUUCUGGACAACCACUUAUUAGCAAACUCAGGGUCCUCAGGGAGAGCAUAAUUACUAACUGCAAUAAGAUGAAUGUGAAGCUGUUCCUAGCAUCCUCCAGUGAUAAAGGUACUAGGAAGAACACUUGUUUUUUGCAUUAAGGAAUACUUGUGCAAAAUGUAGUGGCAGUCAGACCUAGUUCCUGAGAAUUAUGUUUUUCAUCCUUUGGCUGCAAAGAUUUCUGCAGAAAUCCUGAAUGAAGCUGCAGAGGCCAGGUUCAGCACAGAGGAUAGGGAAAGUGCUCAAACACUGCAGUCUGGCCUGGUACUACCAAGACAUGCUGCCACAUGAGUUUCAGCCUUGGAGGUUUGAACAAAAGGUAGCCUAGGAUCGAGAUCUCACAAAUUCUGAUAGUCCCAGCAUGCCCAUCAUUCCGAAGUUAGUGUUAUCAGUGUCUUCUAGGAGAUUC